AACGGCCCUGGGAAUGACCUUCGCGAGGAUCGGCGUUAGGAAUGAACGGCGCGAGGAUCGGCGUUAGGAAUGGCGCUGGGAGCGGCGCGAGGACUCCUUGCUACUGCCGGCGGCUCCUUCUGUCAGCUGCUGGUUUAAAGUAAGGCCGCGGGUGGCGGUGCCUGCGGAGCAGCGCGGGGAGCCUCUCGCUGAGGGUUUCCGUGUGCAUGGGCUGCCCACAGGUCCAGCGGGUCCUCGAACUUCCUGAACUCGAGACGCUGAUGGGCCGUCCAGCAUCCCGAUUCCCUGCCAAUGCGGUGAACAAGAAACACGGGGAACCAGCAAAAGGCAUGUCCUGGAUGCAGACACUGUUUUGAUGUUCCCUUUCCGAAGUACAGAUCACCUGAAUGUUUUAGUACCAUCAAUGAUGGAUGAUAUUUUUCUGCAUCUCUUCUGCCUCUGCUAUGUGGUGAAGUUCAGCCACUCUGUACAAAGGUUAUGCCCAGUUAAAACAGCCUGUUAAUUAUUUAUGAGACAGCAAGAAGACCAAUGGGACUUCCACUUGUCCUUCUGGAGAAAUAAUGAGACCAUUACAGUCUAUUUAACACCAUGAAAAACAGUAUCCACAGGUGACCUUUCAGAAUCAUUGCCAAGUUAGAUUUAUGGCCAUCAUGUACUCUCAUCAAGUAAGAAUAUCAAAGAGGGGCUUAAAGUUAAAUUGGCACUUCAAUUGGUAACAGCAUCCUUACAUUUGAUAAUAAUAAAAUCUCUUCAUUUUACUUUAUUUUAUUUAAGGGAGGGAACGUCUCUCACAGGCAGAAUCUGAUAGCUGGUAUUGUUUCUUUUAAGUUCUGGGACCCUACUGAAUACUGUGGGUAUAUGCUGUAAUAUGACAUAGCGAUAAUGCUGAGAUAUUGCCAUGCCUGUUCAAAUAGUCAAAACAUCUGUACUUGGAGGAAAAUUUCAACGCUCCAUUCCUUCAGCCACGCAGUCCCUGAAAGCAAUGCUGGAUACUGAAAGACUGAAAGCUUUUUUGGUAGUGCUCAGGCCACUGGUAUACAAAAGGUGAAUACCACGAUCACCUCCCAGGGAUGAGAAUUAACUUAAAAUAAAAAUUACAGGAGACUUUGUUUUUAAUUAGUAAUUAAAUGAAAGAAAAAACAUGGCUUGCCUGUCCUUUAUGUUAGCAGAUUAUACUGAAGUAGAUACAAUUUCAAUCCCAAUCCCUAGGUGGGUUUGAAAAGACACGUACAUCUAUCAGAAUGGUGACUAUAGGAAGAAAUAAUGACUUAAUCUAAAUGCUGAACAAAACAGCACUGUGUAGGACGCAUGCAGCUGUGAAACUGCAGAUGGAAUAUCAAGGAAACAGAAUCUAACUGUGUAUCUUGAAACAGAUGUGAAGCAGAAGGGGCAUGUUCCAAGCAGCUGAUUAAAAAAAAAGAAGAAGAAGCUUUAUUGAACAAAUUAUUGUAAUUGAUUGCUUAUUAAAAAAAAUAAAAUUGGUGAUAUACAGUUUCAAGAGUUAGGCUCAGUCCUUGUCCAAAUGACUGCUUAACACCAUGGCUGCA
Pseudopipra pipra is the source of this 1547-nucleotide long non-coding RNA. RefSeq lists it as uncharacterized. The record is from RefSeq and is a predicted model, not a curated record. The transcript is spliced from 3 exons. NCBI's taxonomy places the organism in Eukaryota, Metazoa, Chordata, Aves, Passeriformes, Pipridae.